This 844-nucleotide ribosomal RNA is filed under the name marine metagenome. Its description in RNAcentral is "bacterial SSU rRNA". It matches the Rfam family "Bacterial small subunit ribosomal RNA", at positions 24 to 869 of the family's 1533-position model. The record is from RNAcentral.
UCAGGACGAACGCUGGCGGCGGGCCUAACACAUGCAAGUCUAAGGAGAAUUUCGGAGCAAUCUGAAAGGACACUGGCGCACGGGUGAGUAACGCGUAGGUAACCUACCUUCUGCUGGGGGAUAACAUCGGGAAACCGGUGCUAAUACCGCAUAAUGCAGCGGUCACGCAUGUGGCAGUUGUUAAAGAAUUUCGGCAGAAGAUGGGCCUGCGUGUCAUUAGUUAGUUGGUAAGGUAACGGCUUACCAAGACGAUGAUGACUAGGGGGUCUGAGAGGAUGAUCCCCCACACUGGAACUGAGACACGGUCCAGACUCCUACGGGAGGCAGCAGUGAGGAAUCUUGCGCAAUGGGGGAAACCCUGACGCAGCCACGCCGCGUGCCAGAUGAAGGCCCUACGGGUCGUAAAUGGCUUUUGGUCGGGAAGAUAAGCCGGGUUUCGACCUGGUGUGACGGUACCGACUGAAUAAGCACCGGCUAACUCCGUGCCAGCAGCCGCGGUAAUACGGAGGGUGCAAGCGUUGUCCGGAAUCAUUGGGUGUAAAGGGUGCGUAGGCGGAUGCCUAAGUCUGGGGUGAAAUCUUGCAGCUUAACUGUAAAAUUGCCUUGGAUACUGGGUGUCUUGAGUACAGAAGAGGAUGGUGGAAUUCGUAGUGUAGCGGUGAAAUGCAUAGAUAUUACGAAGAACACCGGUGGCGAAAGCGGCCAUCUGGUCUGUUACUGACGCUGAGGCACGAAAGCGUGGGGAGCGAACAGGAUUAGAUACCCUGGUAGUCCACGCCGUAAACGAUGUGUGCUAGUUGUUGGCCUGUAUGGGCCAGUGACGUAGUUAACGCGCUAAGCACAC